RNAcentral lists this long non-coding RNA (511 nucleotides) under Nicotiana benthamiana. RNAcentral's name for it is "long non-coding RNA (NBEN_LNC002332)". Lineage: Eukaryota; Viridiplantae; Streptophyta; Magnoliopsida; Solanales; Solanaceae. The record is from RNAcentral.
GUCUGGGCAUCUGACUGUCAACUGUUGGAGAUGAUUUUAUAUUUACUGCUGGAUUUCCAGAGCUGCUCACUGUCACUCCUCGUUUCUCUUCUAUUGUCCUGUAUCCCAAGAAAUUGAGAAUAAAUAAAUAAAUAGAGAUGAUACAAAAUUUAAAACCUGAUGCACUAGAAAGUUCUCUCAAAUGGACGUCUAUAAGUGUACAUUACAGCAUACCAUUUCUUAAACAUGUAGAACUGCUUUUUCUUUUGUUUUCUCCUUUACUUUUAUAUUUCUUUUAAUUUUUUUAUUUUUUUUGUGUGUGUGUAGAGAGGGGGAGUCGUAGUGUUGCCGUGUGCCCAUGUCAAAAGUUCUCAAUUAAGCAAAAGCAAGACUGAAGCCCAAAAGUUUUGCAGUUGGUAUCCUACUAAUCAUGAAACAACUGAAGAGAACAAGAAACACAGGCUACCAGUAGUUUCAUCAAUGUUUUCAGCAUCUGCAAGUUCCAGAAUCCCUCUUUCAAGUGUGUUCAUGG